UAGUUUUUUUAGAAAUAAAUUUAAUUUACAAAUUUUUGAUUUUUUAGUUAUUUAUUUAAUUGAAAAAUUUAUUUAUUUGAAUAUUUUAAGGGAUAAGCUUUAAAAUAAAUUAUUAAAAAUUAAUAGUAGUAAUAUAAAAUGUAUGCUUAGAAUUAGCAAUCAUUAUAAAGUUUGUUAUAAAUUAUUUUAUAAAUUAUAUUAUUUAUUAUAUUUUAAUUUAUUUAUAAAAAUUUUUUUAUAAAUUAUAUAUAAAAAGGAAUAAUGAUAGAAUUAGUAUAUUCUUUUGUUUAUGUAAUUUUAUAUGAUAAGUUUGUAUAAAGAACUCGGCAAAAAUUUUACCCGCCUGUUUAACAAAAACAUGUCUUUUUGAGUUAUUUUUAAAGUCUGACCUGCCCACUGAAGUUAUUUAAAUGGCCGCAGUAUUCUAACUGUGCAAAGGUAGCAUAAUCAUUAGUCUUUUAAUUGAAG
Molecule: ribosomal RNA, 468 nt
Filed under: Bactrocera cacuminata
Lineage: Eukaryota; Metazoa; Arthropoda; Insecta; Diptera; Tephritidae
Description: partial 16S ribosomal RNA
Source: RNAcentral